ACACGUGAUGACUGAAAUUCUUCACUUUGACCUGAUGUCUGUUGAAGAAACUCUGUGUCUGAGC
Small nucleolar RNA from Mesocricetus auratus (golden hamster), 64 nucleotides. Ensembl annotates it as small nucleolar RNA, C/D box 37. Its record names the gene Snord37. NCBI's taxonomy places the organism in Eukaryota, Metazoa, Chordata, Mammalia, Rodentia, Cricetidae. The record is from Ensembl.